GUGCUCACUUCAGUAGCACAUAUAUUAAAACUGAAUGAUACAGAGAGGAUUAGCAUGGUCCCUGUGCAAGGAUGACACACAAAUUCGUGAGGUGUUCCAUGUUUUU
Molecule: small nuclear RNA, 106 nt
Organism: Oryctolagus cuniculus (rabbit)
Lineage: Eukaryota; Metazoa; Chordata; Mammalia; Lagomorpha; Leporidae
Source: Ensembl